Molecule: ribosomal RNA, 253 nt
Filed under: uncultured bacterium
Lineage: Bacteria
Also listed under: 1 other name
Description: partial 16S ribosomal RNA
Rfam family: Bacterial small subunit ribosomal RNA
Source: RNAcentral
GACGGAGGGUGCAAGCGUUGUCCGGAAUCACUGGGUGUAAAGGGUGUGUAGGCGGGGCUGUAAGUCAGAGGUGAAAGCCCGCGGCUUAACCGUGGAACUGCCUUUGAUACUGCAGCUCUUGAGUCCUGGAGAGGUCACUGGAAUUCGUGGUGUAGCGGUGAAAUGCGUAGAUAUCACGAGGAACACCGGAGGUGUAGACGGGUGACUGGACAGUGACUGACGCUGAGGCACGAAAGCGUGGGGAGCAAACAGG